Molecule: transfer RNA, 87 nt
Filed under: Pseudoeurycea werleri (Werler's false brook salamander)
Lineage: Eukaryota; Metazoa; Chordata; Amphibia; Caudata; Plethodontidae
Description: tRNA-Leu
Rfam family: tRNA (bases 13-87)
About the family: Transfer RNA (tRNA) molecules are approximately 80 nucleotides in length. Their secondary structure includes four short double-helical elements and three loops (D, anti-codon, and T loops).
Source: RNAcentral
CUAAUACGACUUAUUGGGGUGGCAGAGCACGGUAAUUGCAAGAGAUCUAAGACCUUAUACUCGAAAGUUCAAAUCCUUCCCCCAAUU